CAAAGUCAUCCCUUCGAGCUCGUAGAACACCAGCCAUUGCCGUUUGCUGUCCUUCUUCGGCCAGCAGUUGGGGCCGUCCGGCGGCAUGAUCACUCCAUCCACCUGCAUUGAUUUCCAUGGUCCAUUCCAAUUCAGUAAAGACGAGUCCUGGCUGGCACGGGCCGGAGAAGAUAGUGGAAGUGAGCAUGAAGACUCCGUCCGCUGGCACGAGCAGCGUGGCCGACUCGACCUCGCAAGCAGCCUUCCAUGCUGAACGGAACGCUUCUGUGUCGUCGGUGCUGCCGUCACCGACCGCGCCAAACGAUCGGACGUCGAAAAUGCAGGAGUCAGAGCCCUCAUCGGAAGGUGGAGAGAUUACGGUGGAAGUGUCUGCUGUAGGCGGAACCGAAGGGGAGCCGACUUGUGACUCCAUUGUUCGACCACCACUUCUGCCUCUGUGACUUUGCUUCCCCUUGUGGAAAUGGCUUCUUCCAUAAACGCCGCGGGGACUCAACAACAAGAAUGCGAUUGCAAUGCAGAAAGCAAGCACUGCACAGGGGAUUCCCAUGUCAAGAUCAAUUAAAGGUGGAAACUGACAGGGAAUUGGUUGACGGUGUGGAAGUAAGAACAGAGGUGGAAGUUGAGGGAGGAGAGGAGCUCGCUGGGGUACUCAUUUAAAGCUACAGCGGUGACAUGGGAGAGGAGAACCACGAAGGAGGCGACAUCUGUCAGCUGCUUGCGCUAAAGUUAAAGGCCACAACAUCAGCAAUAGCAUCAGAUCAUCUGUGACGGAGGAGAUUCCUGGUUCACAAGUUUUCUAAAUUGUGAAGCUUCUGGAGAUUCACAUGUUCGGUACUCCUCCUUUUGUGAUCUUAUUAUUUAUGUUUUCAAGCUUUUAUACCUUUGGCACAAGCAUUGCAUAUUAGAUUGUAGUUUGCAGUAUAGGAUUUCUAACAUACAAAAAUAACACGAGGACAAAUGGAAGAACAAGAGCACGUUACCAAAAGAUACCCUUGAUAAGGAAAAUCAACCAAAAAAAACAUUAUAUUAUUUGAUUAUC
Molecule: long non-coding RNA, 1039 nt
Organism: Zingiber officinale
Lineage: Eukaryota; Viridiplantae; Streptophyta; Magnoliopsida; Zingiberales; Zingiberaceae
Exons: 3
Source: RefSeq, a predicted model, not a curated record